Taeniopygia guttata (zebra finch) is the source of this 4770-nucleotide long non-coding RNA. NCBI's taxonomy places the organism in Eukaryota, Metazoa, Chordata, Aves, Passeriformes, Estrildidae. The record is from Ensembl.
GUGGUCAAUGCCCUUAAUAGUAUCCCUUAAUGUUCAGUCUGCCCUGAAGUGUUGGACUAGUUUGAACUAGAAUUAUUCUAUUCUAUUCUAUUCUAUUCUAUUCUAUUCUAUUCUAUUCUAUUCUAUUCUAUUCUAUUAUCAGAUAUAUGAAGCUUUCCUUUCAAGGAACUCAGUGUUUUACAAAUUAUAAUUUUGAAUUUUCAGUGAAUGGCAAAAGUGAUGACUGUUAUGAAAAACUGGUUAAACACACUCUGGGAAAGAACUCCAGACUUCUGUUUAAGUUCAUACUUGAGGACCAUCCUGCCUGCUCUACUGACACUUAGUACCACUGUAAUGAAGUUCAUGGGUCAUGGAUCAGUACAUGCUGAGGAACACCUGACUGAAAAGCCUUACAGAAAAGGACCCGAGCUCCUGGUGGACACCACAUUGACUAUCAGCCAACAAUAUGCCCAUGCACAAAAGGCAGCUAAUGGUAUUCUGGGCUUCAUUAGAAAUGUUGUCAGCAGGUUGAGGAAGGGGAUCCUUCCCUCUACGCAGCACUGGUGAAGCCAAACAUGGAGUACUGUGUGCAGUUCUGGACUCCCCAGUACAAGAGAGAGGCAGACAUAAUGGGGGGAAUCCAACAGAGGGCCGUGAGGAAGAUUGUGAGUGUCAUUCAUACUAGGAAAGGCUGGGAAUGCUAAGACUGUUUAGUCUGGAGGAAAAAAUAUUCUAAGGGGUAUCUGAGGUGGGCAGUGUCUGAUCAAUGUACAUAAUUACCUGAAGGCAGGGUGUAAAGAUAACACAGCCAGGCUUUUUUCAGCGCUGCCCAGUGACAGGACCAGAGGCAAUGAGCACCAACUGAAACAUGGAAGGUUCUGCCUGAACAUCAGGAAACACUUCUUUACUGGGAGAGUAACUGAGCCCUGGCACAGGUUGCCCAGGGAAGUUGUAGAGUUUCCCUCUUUGAAGAUAUUCAAAAGCCAUCUUGACAUGGUCAUCAUUUCUGGGUGGCCCUGCUUGAGCGAGUGGUUGGAUCAGAUGAUUUUGAGAGUCCCUUCCAAAUUUAACCAUUCCGUUAUUUUCACCAACCAUCAGCAUGUCAAAAAUCUUCCUAGAAAAUAGUGGCUUUGUGGCUUAAUCUGUUAUUUUUCAAGUAUCUCCUGAUGCUAUAGCAGAUCUUUCUGUACAUUGAUAAUGCAGAUGGUGCAGAAAGGAAUUUAAUAGCUAGGACAGGUUCCUUCUCAGGACAAUGCUGCUGUUUCAUUUACUGCAUGAACUGAUUGAGAUCUUUAUGAGAUCACUUUAAUUUGGACUUAUGCAAUGCUCAGAAAGGUCAGACAGGUUAUUCCCUCCUUUCCAUUACUUCCCAGAACUAGUGAAGACAGAAAGCACAGUGGUAAAAAAAACUCAAAUCAAACUGUUUAAUAUUGUUAAGAAUAUAUUGCUCCCAUCAGCAGAGAAGUUCAUUCCAGAUAAGAUCUCAGACUAAAGCAAGGACUCUUAUCUUCUCUAUGCAUCCCCAACACCUGGGAGCACAAAAAGAGGACAACACGGCCUUCCAUUAGCUCUUCCAGUCUAAAGAACAGAAGAGAGUUCAACCAAGCAAGGGAAGGACAUAUCAUAAUCUUUUCUCACUUUCUAAUGCUCUAAGGACCAGAAGAGAAAGUAUCAAAAAGUGCACAUCAUGACCUCAUGUGUGUGUUCAGUGACUGACAUGCACAUGUAGUAAAUGAAGGUCAGUUAGAUAUUUGCAAGUAACAAGAGCAUUACAACUUGUGGCUUAACUUGCACCACAACUUGAUUCACUUAUAUGUACAACAGCAACUAUAAGAAUAGAAGAAUAUCAACUGGACAAAAAAGCCUCUUGAACACCUUGAAAAUAAUCUCUCUUCCGUUUUGUUUUGUAAUAAAAAUGAAGUAUUUUGUAAGAAGUACUGUUGUCUACCUGGUAAUUCCUUAACUCAUAUCAGUUGAAAACUGUGCAGUUACAGAAGGAAGAAGAUUCAAACUUAAGAUGAGUGAAGAACUCUAAGCUUAAGGUGAACAGAUUUUCUACAGCGCUUGCCUUGCUUCCCUUCAUGACUAGUCAUGAAGACAGGACAGAAGGUCCUUCCACACAUCCCUCACCAGAUCCCAUUCCUCCACACUCCAUUUAGUUUCUGCAGUUCAAGCAGAUUCCUUUUCCCCCUGAAAUCAAUGUUUAAUUAACACAUUAUUGGAAAAAAAAGGGAUGCAAGAGCAGACUGAAACAAAGCCAGCACUACCCUGCUCUGCAGAUGCAGCCAGUCCCAUUAGAAAAUUACCCCACUGGAAAGUUAUUCCUCUCCUCAUCCUCCUUCAGCUGCCAACAAACAUCAUCCUCUUGCUUAGUUACCUUUCUUUCCAUCUCCACAGGACUCUUUCCUUUCUUAGAAGUGGUCCACAACAGCAGAAAAAAAGUAGAGGGAGAAGAGGAGCAAGUGCUCUCUGUGUAGCCUCACAGUAUGACCAAGGCCUCAUCUUUAAUCCUGCCACGCCCACAGAAGCAGCACACUGAUUCCCCUGAUGACUGCCCCAUCGACACAGCAAGCACAGCAGAAACAGGACAGUGUGCUGUGCCAUGAACAGGGCAUUCUCAGAGGGUCAAACUCACAUGCAGAUCCUGGAACUACACACAACAGUGUGUACCCAAAGGCAGCAGAGAUGCUACCGGCAGCUUCAAAAAGUUUACAUCAUACCUCCCCCUAUCGUCAUCAAUUAUUAUUCUAUCCCAUUCCUUGGCUCUCAUCCGGCUGCUGGAAGGUACUUGGAUGCAGGGGAUGCUGCAGCACUGUCAAGGGCAUUUUAAGGCAGGCCUAGGGCCCUCCCUGCUACACACACAGGCACCCACACUACAGGGCUGGUGCAGCCAGCAAAGGACAGCAGAGUCCAUGAACUCCUGGGCUGAGCUGCCCUAGUCAUGAAGGGAGGCAUCAGGAUCUUUGAAAGAGUCUACCAUCCCAGCACUGUCAUUCCCAGGAUCCAAAGCUACUAGUGUUAAUUAGUUCCCAUGAUGUGAUGGAUGACAAGCGGCAGGACUAGGAAUGACACAAGCAGAUUGUGUUUGAAAUAAGCCGUCCCUCACCAUCAAGGGCAGAGCAAAGGAAUUUGGAAAGGACAGGAGCUCAGCACACCAGUGAGAGACGACAGAUAUGCUGACAGGCCCAAAAUCCCUGAUAUACCCUUCCCACCACCCCAGCUCGCUCCUCUGCCAGCAGACAAAAGAGAGGCAGGGGAGUAUGCCUGGCAGCGAACUCAGGCACCUGGCUGUGAGAAACAAGAAGAAAGCUCUGAGAAAAGGGGAAGUAAAGCAGAUGAAGGGCUAAUCUACCUUGUAGCAAGAGGCCAUAUUUCAGACAGAGCUGAACUUCUAGCAGCUAUAAGUGAACCUCCACCACCCUCUGAAAAGCCACACAGUGAUACCUGCAGCAGCCCAGAGUCUAAAGAGGCUGAAGGCUUUAGCCCAGACAGAGCACUUUGCCAAGCUGGCUGUGCAGUGCACAGUUCACAAGAGCUGUCCACAGUGCUCAGAGAGCACUGUUUUCUGUCAAUGGUAACAAGAGAAACUGUGUUCCCACCUUCCCUUAAGGAAGAACGCAGGAUCUUCCAACAUCACUAGUGUAUUUCCAGUAGGAGUCUUAUUGCUCAACUUUUCAAGAACAUCACUACAGAAACACUGCAUUUUAUCCCUACUAGACUUCAGUAAAACCAUACUCAAGUUAGCCCAACCAAAAGUCAUAGUUUUUCCAUUUAAAAAAAAUUCACAAAGGGAAUAAACCGAGCACUAAAAGUGUCAUCCAUUGCCCACAAGUAGAAAGGCAGAAAAAAUUUCUCCCAUGCUGUCUUUCUACAAACAUGUCUUCAUCUGGCUGUUUGGAUGGCAGUGAGACAUCAAAAUACCACUUCUGAUUCUCAGAGUCCUUUACACAUGAAUUGCCAGUAUCUAUGCCCAAGUGAAGAGAAACAAAAGAAAAGAAAAAGCAAACAACCUGGACCAAGAUUAUGUAGUGUACUGGUUUCAAGAAGAUACUUUUAAUUUGUGAAACCAAGAUACAAGAGGUAUCUUCCUCACCAUUUGCUGUAUGAAUUACAAACCAGCUCUGCUAGACUGACAGACUGCUAUUACAUAGAAGAUGAGGAUGAGGGAGAGAUAAGAGCUGAUAGAAAUUUCCAAAGCUUAACCAAAAUUUGGGUAAUUUCUGGCUCCAGCUUGGGCAAUUGUCCCAAAAUAAAGCCUAUUUUCUCUUCAUGCUGGUGGGGGGCAGGACCAGAUAAAGCUGGAUGCAUUUUGUUUUUAAAUUAAACACUAUGUCUUCUGUAUCAUCAUCAGAGGUCAUCUCUUAUCCUGGUUUUUGGUCAUCAUAAAGUUUCUGACUCCUUCAGUUUGUUCUUGGACAGAUCAUUGUGUGUCCUUAUCAUUGACACAGCCUAUCACAGCUUAGCCAGUAUCCUGACAUCCACCUGCAUGUGCCCACAGCACAGAGCUAAAGAAAAGGGCAAAGAAAAACAGAUCCAGGGGGGAAAUACACUCUGCUUCUCAAUAAAAAUACUUUAAAGAGCCCUGGAAGAGGCUACAGAAAACAGAAGUUGAGUAGAUCCACCAAAAUACCGCUGCUGAUACAAGAAAAAGGGAACUAAACUCCACCUUCCCAGGAAUAAUCCAGACAAGAGCCUAACCAUCUUGUACAGCCUGAAGGUGUCCUCUAUGCUGAAGGUUUAAAUCUUAAAUCCAAUCCUAACACAAAAAAAAAAAAAAAAAAAAAAAAAAAA